This 468-nucleotide ribosomal RNA is filed under the name uncultured bacterium. RNAcentral describes it as "partial 16S ribosomal RNA". It matches the Rfam family "Bacterial small subunit ribosomal RNA", at positions 28 to 507 of the family's 1533-position model. The record is from RNAcentral.
GACGAACGCUGGCGGCGUGCUUAACACAUGCAAGUCGAACGGAAAGGCCCUGCUUUUGUGGGGUGCUCGAGUGGCGAACGGGUGAGUAACACGUGAGUAACCUGCCCUUGACUUUGGGAUAACUUCAGGAAACUGGGGCUAAUACCGGAUAGGAGCUCCUGCUGCAUGUUGGGGGUUGGAAAGUUUCGGCGGUUGUGGAUGGACUCGCGGCUUAUCAGCUUGUUGGUGGGGUAGUGGCUUACCAAGGCUUUGACGGGUAGCCGGCCUGAGAGGGUGACCGGCCACAUUGGGACUGAGAUACGGCGCAGAAGCCUACGGGAGGCAGCAGGGGGGAAUAUUGCACAAUGGGCGGAAGCCUGAGGCAGCAACGCCGCGUGCGGGAUAACGGCCUUCGGGUUGUAAACCGAUGUGGAAUGUGACGAAGAGUGAGUGACGGUAAUGGGUAAAGAAGCACCGGCUAACUACGUG